CGGAAUCUACCUUUUCGUGGGGGAUAACGUAGGGAAACUUACGCUAAUACCGCAUACGACCUUCGGGUGAAAGCAGGGGACCUUCGGGCCUUGCGCGGAUAGAUGAGCCGAUGUCGGAUUAGCUAGUUGGCGGGGUAAAGGCCCACCAAGGCGACGAUCCGUAGCUGGUCUGAGAGGAUGAUCAGCCACACUGGAACUGAGACACGGUCCAGACUCCUACGGGAGGCAGCAGUGGGGAAUAUUGGACAAUGGGCGCAAGCCUGAUCCAGCCAUACCGCGUGGGUGAAGAAGGCCUUCGGGUUGUAAAGCCCUUUUGUUGGGAAAGAAAAGCAAUCGAUUAAUACUCGGUUGUUCUGACGGUACCCAAAGAAUAAGCACCGGCUAACUUCGUACCAGCAGCCGCGGUAAUACGAAGGGUGCAAGCGUUACUCGGAAUUACUGGGCGUAAAGCGUGCGUAGGUGGUUGUUUAAGUCUGUUGUGAAAGCCCUGGGCUCAACCUGGGAAUUGCAGUGGAUACUGGGCAACUAGAGUGUGGUAGAGGGUAGUGGAAUUCCCGGU
This 559-nucleotide ribosomal RNA is filed under the name uncultured bacterium. RNAcentral's name for it is "bacterial SSU rRNA". It matches the Rfam family "Bacterial small subunit ribosomal RNA", at positions 119 to 674 of the family's 1533-position model. The record is from RNAcentral.